UGGGGAAUAUUGCACAAUGGGCGAAAGCCUGAUGCAGCGACGCCGCGUGAGGGAUGACGGCCUUCGGGUUGUAAACCUCUUUCAGCAGGGACGAAGCGCAAGUGACGGUACCUGCAGAAGAAGCACCGGCUAACUACGUGCCAGCAGCCGCGGUAAUACGUAGGGUGCAAGCGUUGUCCGGAAUUACUGGGCGUAAAGGGCUUGUAGGCGGCUUGUUGCGCCUGCUGUGAAAACGCGGGGCUUAACUUCGCGCGUGCAGUGGGUACGGGCAGGCUUGAGUGUGGUAGGGGUGACUGGAAUUCCAGGUGUAGCGGUGGAAUGCGCAGAUAUCUGGAGGAACACCGAUGGCGAAGGCAGGUCACUGGGCCAUUACUGACGCUGAGGAGCGAAAGCAUGGGUAGCGAACAGG
Molecule: ribosomal RNA, 409 nt
Filed under: bacterium
Lineage: Bacteria
Description: partial 16S ribosomal RNA
Rfam family: Bacterial small subunit ribosomal RNA
Source: RNAcentral